UACGGAGGGUGCAAGCGUUAAUCGGAAUUACUGGGCGUAAAGCGCACGCAGGUGGCUGUAUAAGUCGGAUGUGAAAGCCCCGGGCUUAACCUGGGAACUGCAUUCGAUACUGUGCAGCUAGAGUAUGGGAGAGGAAAGUGGAAUUCCCGGUGUAGCGGUGAAAUGCGUAGAUAUCGUGAGGAACACCAGAGGCGAAGGCGGUUUCCUGGACAGUUACUGACGCUCAGGCACGAAAGCGUGGGGAGCAAACAGG
Molecule: ribosomal RNA, 253 nt
Filed under: uncultured bacterium
Lineage: Bacteria
Description: partial 16S ribosomal RNA
Rfam family: Bacterial small subunit ribosomal RNA
Source: RNAcentral